UACAGAGGGUGCAAGCGUUAAUCGGAAUUACUGGGCGUAAAGGGCGUGUAGGUGGUUGUAUAAGUUGGUUGUGAAAUCCCUGGGCUUAACCUAGGAAUGGCAACUGAGACUGUAUAACUAGAGUACGGUAGAGGGUAGUGGAAUUUCCGGUGUAGCGGUGAAAUGCGUAGAGAUCGGAAGGAACACCAGUGGCGAAGGCGGCUACCUGGACUGAUACUGACACUGAGGUACGAAAGCGUGGGGAGCAAACAGG
RNAcentral lists this ribosomal RNA (253 nucleotides) under uncultured bacterium. RNAcentral's name for it is "partial 16S ribosomal RNA". It matches the Rfam family "Bacterial small subunit ribosomal RNA", at positions 524 to 776 of the family's 1533-position model. The record is from RNAcentral.